CCCUAAGUGUUACGCCAUGCCUUUAUUAUCAAACUGUGUAUAGCAAUAGUAUAUUAGUUUGGAUUAAAGUAAAUAAUUACAUUAUACAUUUAUAUUGAAAACAAGUUACCACUAAUUUAAUUGCGACCCUUGUCCAACCAAUACUCAUGUUUAGAUCAAUGCCUUGUUCGCACAAUCCCACCUUAUCUUGUUUGAUCGGACUCUAGUUUUACCUCUUUUCUGCUUUGACUUAGGAUAUUUUCUGUAAUUUUCGGAUGAUCACUUAAUUGAUAUUUCGAUCUGUUGAACAGAUAACACAUUUCAAAUGUGGGGGAGUUUCCCUUGGUGUGGGCAUGCAACAUCACGCAGCAGAUGGAGCUUCUGGUCUUCACUUCAUCAACACAUGGUCCGAUAUGGCUCGUGGUCUGGACCUCACCAUCCCACCUUUUAUAGACCGGACCCUCCUCCGUGCUCGCGCUUCCGGUCUUCACUUCAUCAACACACGGUCCGAUAUGGCUCGUGGUCUGGACCUCACCAUCCCACCUUUCAUAGAUCGGACCCUCCUCCGUGCUCGUGAUCCACCUCAGCCUCAGUUUCCCCACGUCGAGUACCAGCCACCUCCCACUCUCAAAGCAACUCCGGAAAACACCACCAACCCUGAAGUUGUUCCUGAAACAGCGCGUCCAUCUUCAAAUUAACUCGUGAUCAAAUCAAUACCCUCAAAGCCAAGUCCAAAGAAGAUGGAAAUACCAUUAACUACAGAUCCUACGAGAUGUUGGCAGGACACGUGUGGCGCUCCACGUGCAUGGCACGAGGACUAGCUCAUGAUCAAGAAACCAAAUUGUACAUAGCAACAGAUGGACGUUCCAGGCUGCGGCCCUCUCUCCCACCAGGCUAUUUUGGUAAUGUGAUAUUUACUACUACUCCUAUUGCAGUGGCUGGUGAUAUCCAAUCAAAACCUAUUUGGUAUGCUGCCAGUAAAUUACAUGAUGCACUGGCUAGAAUGGACAAUGACUAUUUACGAUCAGCUCUUGAUUAUUUGGAGUUGCAGCCUGACUUAAAGGCUCUUGUUCGUGGAUCGUGGUGCACAUACAUUUAAGUGCCCGAAUUUAGGAAUAACUAGUUGGUCUAGGCUGCCAAUCCAUGAUGCUGAUUUUGGCUGGGGUAGGCCUAUAUUUAUGGGACCUGGUGGUAUUGCUUAUGAAGGUUUAAGCUUUAUAUUGCCAAGUCCUACAAAUGAUGGCAGUCAAUUGUUGGAUUGCGUAUAGGUGUUCGUAACACGCAGUGGAAGACAAUAACAAUCCAAGGUAGAUUUUCUCAUGUUUAAAAUUUAUUUACGUGUCAAAGAACGGAUCAAAUACGUACCUGGUGAAGAAAGUCUCGUUUCAAAAUUCUUCGAUAGUGCGAAGACUCUAUGCGUAU
This 1401-nucleotide long non-coding RNA is filed under the name Nicotiana benthamiana. RNAcentral's name for it is "long non-coding RNA (NBEN_LNC021990)". The record is from RNAcentral. Lineage: Eukaryota; Viridiplantae; Streptophyta; Magnoliopsida; Solanales; Solanaceae.